UAACCUGCCCAAGAGAUCGGGAUAACACCUGGAAACAGAUGCUAAUACCGGAUAACAACAGAUGAUGCCUAUCAACUGUUUAAAAGAUGGUUCUGCUAUCACUCUUGGAUGGACCUGCGGUGCAUUAGCUAGUUGGUAGGGUAACGGCCUACCAAGGCGAUGAUGCAUAGCCGAGUUGAGAGACUGAUAGGCCACAUUGGGACUGAGACACGGCCCAAACUCCUACGGGAGGCAGCAGUG
RNAcentral lists this ribosomal RNA (240 nucleotides) under uncultured Lactobacillus sp. Its description in RNAcentral is "partial 16S ribosomal RNA". It matches the Rfam family "Bacterial small subunit ribosomal RNA", at positions 122 to 356 of the family's 1533-position model. Lineage: Bacteria; Bacillati; Bacillota; Bacilli; Lactobacillales; Lactobacillaceae. The record is from RNAcentral.